GACGAACCGUGCGAACGUUGUUCGGAAUCACUGGGCUUAAAGGGCGCGUAGGCGGCUCUGUCAGUCUCGGGUGAAAUCUUUCGGCUCAACCGGAAACGUGCCUGGGAUACUGCAGAGCUGGAGGGAGGUAGGGGCGGACGGAACUUCCGGUGGAGCGGUGAAAUGCGUUGAUAUCGGAAGGAACGCCGGUGGCGAAAGCGGUCCGCUGGACCUCUACUGACGCUGAGGCGCGAAAAGCCAGGGGGAGCAAACGGG
RNAcentral lists this ribosomal RNA (255 nucleotides) under uncultured bacterium. Its description in RNAcentral is "partial 16S ribosomal RNA". It matches the Rfam family "Bacterial small subunit ribosomal RNA", at positions 524 to 776 of the family's 1533-position model. The record is from RNAcentral.